Oryzias melastigma (Indian medaka) is the source of this 1255-nucleotide long non-coding RNA. RefSeq lists it as uncharacterized. The transcript has 6 exons. The record is from RefSeq and is a predicted model, not a curated record. NCBI's taxonomy places the organism in Eukaryota, Metazoa, Chordata, Actinopteri, Beloniformes, Adrianichthyidae.
GAAACUGUGUUCCAGGUAUUUCCUUCCAGACAUAGCUGGAUGUGUUUGAAGAAAGGCUUAUCGGUAAUCCUUCAGUGGUACUUUGCUCAUAUUCCGUUUGUUUUAGCUGCUGAUAAUCACAGAUCAAUGCAUGUUUGACAAAUACAAGAAGAACAUUGGACUGUAAAAGCUUCUGAAAUAACAGUCCAAACCUAUAUGGUUCUCCGUUCAGGGUAAACACCUACAGCUGGUCAAACUGCAGCCAGAAUGAUAACUGCUGGGAAAUAACGCUGUCUGUGGCCUUCACCCUUCAGCGUGUGUCUGUUAUUAAAAAGCAUACCUUUUAAUCCCAACAGGUCGAAUCCAUUUUCAGCGUGAUCAGAUGAAGUAUCAGUUCAGUACACUUUGCUUGACACCACUAAACGAUCCAACUUCUAUUUGCUCUUUUUAGUUUCUGUAUCAUCAAAACUUUGAGGCUAAUUACUUUUUGCAGGACUACAGUAUUAAAUCCCUAAGAGAACUUAGACGAGCUAUAAUUGGAUGCAUUUCUAAUUUUGGCACCUUUUUGUUCUUGCGAUUGAGCAUGGAAAGUCAUCAGCCAUCAAGUCAAAAGCUUGAGGUCAAUUCGUACCAUAGAGCGUGUGUUUUUAAUUGUACUGGAAGGGAAAAUAAGACUAAAAAUUUCUCUCAGUACAACACAGAGUGAUAAUCUCAGUCUUGGGAAGAUCAGUUCACUUCCUUUCCCCUUUGAAUUCACUUUGGAUCUAUUUAAUGUGCUCCACUUUCUGUUAGUUUUUUUUUUUUUUACUCUCCUUAGGUCCCUAGAGAAGUCUCACUGCGCUCCACCUGACCAGCAGAAGCACAGAGCUGCUUUUCAAGAAAAAUUGCGCUGUUCACAAACAGAGAGGAGGAAGAUGUGCGGAGACUGCAGAGAUGAGAAGAUUGAGAUACCUCAAGAUCAGUCUAUUCCCACCUGGAUAUGGUUUCUUCUGUGAUAAAAUCUCCCACAUCACAAUCCCAAAGCUGUGGAUCAAAGCAGAAGGAGACAGCUGAGUCCUGGCAUCCUGUAACUUCUCUCUUCAAUUCUUAGUUGAAUUUUAUUUGGACUCCAUUUGCUUCCACUUCACCCAGGUUAAUAACCACCUUCAGGCUGCCCUGGGAUGGAAGGGCAUCACCGGGAUCAACACUCUUUCCCACGUUCAGACUCAUUUCUGCUGUGUAGUUGCCAGUGCCACAUGAGUCAUCUGAAACUUCUGUAACACUAACAAAAAAAAAA